GACAUGGCGGAGUGGUUAACGCGCUCGACUCAAGAGACUACCAUGGUGAUCUUACAUCAUGCUUGGUCCCUGACAGUUCGAGUCUCGAAAGAGGCGCGAGUUCGAAUCUCGCUGUCG
RNAcentral lists this transfer RNA (117 nucleotides) under Schizochytrium aggregatum. It matches the Rfam family "tRNA". From Rfam's summary of the family: Transfer RNA (tRNA) molecules are approximately 80 nucleotides in length. Their secondary structure includes four short double-helical elements and three loops (D, anti-codon, and T loops). Further hydrogen bonds mediate the characteristic L-shaped molecular structure. tRNAs have two regions of fundamental functional importance: the anti-codon, which is responsible for specific mRNA codon recognition, and the 3' end, to which the tRNAs corresponding amino acid is attached (by aminoacyl-tRNA synthetases). tRNAs cope with the degeneracy of the genetic code in two manners: having more than one tRNA (with a specific anti-codon) for a particular amino acid; and 'wobble' base-pairing, i.e. permitting non-standard base-pairing at the 3rd anti-codon position. Lineage: Eukaryota; Bigyra; Thraustochytrida; Thraustochytriidae. The record is from RNAcentral.